This 597-nucleotide ribosomal RNA is filed under the name Triticum aestivum (bread wheat). Its description in RNAcentral is "partial small subunit ribosomal RNA". Lineage: Eukaryota; Viridiplantae; Streptophyta; Magnoliopsida; Poales; Poaceae. The record is from RNAcentral.
AUGAAAUCCAAGCUUCCAUUGAAAUCCACUGCAGAGAAUUUGAGGAGGAACGGAAUAAAGAGGAAAAAAUUACCUAAACUUCCCUGCUCGGACAAAUGGAAGCCUCCUCCACCUAAUGUUCUGAAGAUAAAUACUGAUGGUGCGUAUGUUGAAAAUUCUCACAAAGGUGGAUGGGGAUAUGUGCUUAGAAAUGACAAAGGAGAGGUGUUGGCAGCAGGUGCAGGAUCUAUGCAGCAUAUUUCUGAAGCUAUUCAUGCAAAAAGUCUAGCACUCCUCCAGGCAAUCAACAUGGCAAAUGAGCUGGGAUGUAACCGAUUAAUUUUUGAAACCGAUGCUUUUGUACUGAAACAAGCAAUAAUGAGUGAAGCUUACGACAACUCAAGGCAUGGAGCACUGUUUAAAGAAAUCAAAACAUUACUGCAUACAUACUUUGAUGAUGCAAGUGUUAAAUGGUGUAAUCGUUCCUGCAACUCUGUUGCUCAUAAUGUAGCGUCCUUUGGCGCUGGUUUGGAAUUAGGUAGCCAACAACAGCUAGGUGUAUUUCCAAACUUUGUAAAUGUUGCGGUGGCUGGCGAUGUGCCACACUGUAUUAUGUAA